UACGAAGGGGGCUAGCGUUGCUCGGAAUCACUGGGCGUAAAGCGCACGUAGGCGGCUUUCUAAGUCAGGGGUGAAAUCCUGGAGCUCAACUCCAGAACUGCCUUUGAUACUGGAGAGCUUGAGUCCGGGAGAGGUGAGUGGAACUCCGAGUGUAGAGGUGAAAUUCGUAGAUAUUCGGAAGAACACCAGUGGCGAAGGCGGCUCACUGGCCCGGUACUGACGCUGAGGUGCGAAAGCGUAGGGAGCAAACAGG
Molecule: ribosomal RNA, 253 nt
Filed under: uncultured bacterium
Lineage: Bacteria
Description: partial 16S ribosomal RNA
Rfam family: Bacterial small subunit ribosomal RNA
Source: RNAcentral